GACGAACGCUGGCGGCGUGCUUAACACAUGCAAGUCGAACGGAAAGGCCCUGCUGGUGUGGGGUGCUCGAGUGGCGAACGGGUGAGUAACACGUGAGUAACCUGCCCUUGACUUUGGGAUAACUUCAGGAAACUUGGGCUAAUACCGGAUAGGAGCUCCUGCUGCAUGGUGGGGGUUGGAAAGUUUCGGCGGUUGGGGAUGGACUCGCGGCUUAUCAGCUUGUUGGUGGGGUAGUGGCUUACCAAGGCUUUGACGGGUAGCCGGCAUGAGAGGGUGACCGGCCACAUUGGGACUGAGAUACGGCCCAGACUCCUACGGGAGGCAGCAGUGGGGAAUAUUGCACAAUGGGCGGAAGCCUGAUGCAGCAACGCCGCGUGCGGGAUGACGGCCUUCGGGUUGUAAACCGCUUUCGCCUGUGACGAAGCGUGAGUGACGGUAAUGGGUAAAGAAGCACCGGCUAACUACGUG
This 468-nucleotide ribosomal RNA is filed under the name uncultured bacterium. RNAcentral's name for it is "partial 16S ribosomal RNA". It matches the Rfam family "Bacterial small subunit ribosomal RNA", at positions 28 to 507 of the family's 1533-position model. The record is from RNAcentral.